This is a non-coding RNA of Ornithorhynchus anatinus (platypus), 1150 nucleotides long. NCBI's taxonomy places the organism in Eukaryota, Metazoa, Chordata, Mammalia, Monotremata, Ornithorhynchidae. The record is from the annotation of a RefSeq genome assembly.
UGGUUUCGGGGCAGAGCGAAGAGACUGCUGAGGUGCUGAGAGAGAAACGCUACCAGCAUGGUGCUUCCCACCCUGCUGUGGGCACUCACUGCCUUCCUCUGCCUCGGAUCCAGCAUGGCCCAGAGCGUCUCUCAGACCAAGGCAGCAGUGUCCGGGGUGGUGGGACAGACAGUGACCCUGCCCUGCAGCUACAGCACGAGCGACAGCUCUUACUAUUUGUACUGGUACAAAAAACCUCCUAGCGGGGGGUUGAUUUACCUUAUUCGUCAGUAUUCUGAUUCCCAGAAUGCGAGGACUGGCAGAUUCUCUGUGUCUCUCUGGAAAGCAGAAAAGUCCAUCAACCUCAGGAUCAACGCGUUAGAACUGGGAGACUCUGCGGUAUAUUUCUGUGCUUACAGUAAGGCCCACAGUGAGAGAAUGGGCAAGAGGAGCUGUUCAAAAACUCUGGAGUUCUCAGCCCUGCUCAGUGCAGGGGGAACGUGGGGGAAAUCCCCAAACCCUGACAGGAAACUGGUUGGGUGAAGCCUGGAGCUGGGAGCAGCCCAGAUGGGGGCUGGAGAGGAAACGGUUGGCUUUGUUCUAGAAAAUAACCCCUCAGCUGAGCCCCAGUAACAGGGCAAGUGGCAGAAGUUUACCGUGCUCAAAAACCUGCUUGACUUUGAACUCUUUAUUUGAAUGAAACAAGCUGGUGAGUAGCCAGGCUUGUUCCUGCAUUUAAGGGCAGAAGCCAAUAAGGGUAAACAGAGCACGUUAACUGUUCUGAGCAUCUGCUGAACGGAAAGGACAAGAGGUUAAUGAGUCAGUGACAACGUUCUUUGAAAAUGUUGCAAUCAGUACAUUCCCCUCUCCCACACUGAAUUUUCUCCCAGUUCCUUAUGUAAUUUAUCAGUUCCCUGUCCCCACCUUGUUUCCAUUCUCCUGCAUCUUCAGUUCCUUCCUUCCCCACUUUUUGUACUCUUCCCUCCCACCCCCUUGCUAGAAAUAGGACAAUUUCCCAUCCUGUGGCAUCUGACCCAAUCUGCCAGGAUACAAAACAUUUUUUAAUCUCCAAAAUCCCCAAGCCCUCCUUGUUCUUUGGUUGAGGAGCAGCAUAGUUUAGUAGAUAGAGCACAGGCCCCAGAAUCAAAAGGACCUGGGUUCUAAUUCUGGC